Molecule: long non-coding RNA, 857 nt
Organism: Prinia subflava (tawny-flanked prinia)
Lineage: Eukaryota; Metazoa; Chordata; Aves; Passeriformes; Cisticolidae
Exons: 2
Source: RefSeq, a predicted model, not a curated record
AAACAAAAACAUAGGGGUUUGGAGGUUGCUGUGGCCGUUCAAAACAGGGCGCAGGCAGGCAGCAAGGACUCCAGUCCCUCCGGAAUCCCUCGAGAGAAGCCCCACAGAACCGCAGGGAGAGAAAGAAGAGGGCACAGAGGAGCCUAGAGUUUUACACUGAGUGAGAGGAACACAGCGAUAGUAAAUGCCCGAAGCUCCUCAGCUGUCCCGCUGCAUAGGAUGUUGCGGGGUCACUUUAUGGUCUUGUAUGCCACCCCUUCCCGACCCCGCACCCUUCCCGCUCAGGCAGAGGCGACGGGAGCCAGGCGAGCGUGGCAGUUGCGCCUCAGAGUCCGAGAGGCGCCUCAAAGCCUGCUCUUGGAGCUAUAAUUAACUGCAUACAAAGAAUGUGCCUCGUUUACACAUGGCAGCCAGGAAAGACGCCUGAGCUUUGAAGACGACUGCUAUCGCGUUUUCGAUCAUGUUUCCCCACAUAUUACACCACGAAAUCUCCAUGUGUGGUAGUUUCAGAGUUAUACGUUUUUGUAUUGAAGAUGUUAUUUUGUUUGCCCGUGCUUUUAUGUAUUUAUGAAUUGAUUUAUGUAAACGAAAGUAAAGAUGAAUCUUUGUUCAUCCCCUCCUUCAUCACACAUUCCUGUGAAUUAUUCGGUAUAAUGCGCGUGCACGAGGCUAUGCAUAUGUGGAAACAUAUAUUAACACAACCAACGGGUAGGAAUUAAAUUAUUCUGUUUGACACUAAAAGUCAUUUCCAUAGAUGAACUGCGUUUUGUCGAUCGAGAUGUUUGGUUUUCUUUCUGCCAUUUUGAAAUAAAUGCACGCAAUAUUAAAAACACGUAAACAAAAGGAAAAAUAUACAA